This 371-nucleotide RNase P RNA is filed under the name Bacteroidales bacterium. Its description in RNAcentral is "RNase P RNA component class A". It matches the Rfam family "Bacterial RNase P class A". Rfam says of the family: Ribonuclease P (RNase P) is a ubiquitous endoribonuclease, found in archaea, bacteria and eukarya as well as chloroplasts and mitochondria. Its best characterised activity is the generation of mature 5'-ends of tRNAs by cleaving the 5'-leader elements of precursor-tRNAs. The record is from RNAcentral. Lineage: Bacteria; Pseudomonadati; Bacteroidota; Bacteroidia; Bacteroidales.
CGGGGCCGAGGGUCUGUCGCCGGCAUUUCCUGUAAAGUGCCGGAGGAAAGUCCGGGCAACGCAGAGCACCAUACUCCCCUCGGGGAGCCGGCGGAAACGUCGGAGCAAGAGUGACAGAAAACAACCGCCGCACCUCUCGCAGGUACGGUAAGGGUGAAAAGGCGGGGUAAGAGCCCACCGGGCACGAUAGCGAUAUUGUGUGCCGCACUUCUUAUGGGUUGCAAGGUCAAGUAUACCGGCAUCAUGGGGCUGCUCGUCCCUUUGCCGGGGGGUAGACUGCUCAGAUAAAUGACAGACGGCGCGGCGCUUGUCGGUCCACGCGGCCGAUACGGCUCCGGUCACAUAACCCGGCUUAUACCCGGCCCCUGCCU